ACGACCUUACUUGAACAGGAUCUGUUCUAUGGGUUCAUACCUCUGUGUCCUUGAAUACUAAGGAGACAGGAAUCAAAGUCUGGUGGAUGAAUUAUGACCGUGUGAUCAGAGCGUGAUUAAUGGUUGCACGAUCAGCCUGAUCGUUGCGGCUGCAGAGCCUAAUUAAAAAAGAUACCAAGAUCAAUUUAAUAGCCCUUUUUCUUUUUUUUUUUAUGAACCUUUUUGACGGGGC
Malania oleifera is the source of this 232-nucleotide small nucleolar RNA. RefSeq annotates it as small nucleolar RNA U3. Lineage: Eukaryota; Viridiplantae; Streptophyta; Magnoliopsida; Santalales; Ximeniaceae. The transcript has a single exon. The record is from RefSeq and is a predicted model, not a curated record.